Non-coding RNA from Schizosaccharomyces pombe (fission yeast), 485 nucleotides. The record is from the annotation of a GenBank genome assembly. Lineage: Eukaryota; Fungi; Ascomycota; Schizosaccharomycetes; Schizosaccharomycetales; Schizosaccharomycetaceae.
UGACUAAGUAUUCGACUGUCAAGUUUUGUCAAUUUAGUCUCAAAUAUUUCGGUCAUGGAAUCAUGCUUCCUCAGAGCUUAAAAUAGGAUAAACGAAUUCGGUUUAGAGAGUUUUUUUGCAUACCUAUGUUACCAUUCAAAAUCGCAAGAUGGAGUUUGGUGCACAUAUUUAAACGCAACUUUAGAAGCGAAUAAGGCCCCUUUGAAAAACCGGUGCCCAUGCCAUAUAAUGCUUUUGAGUUUGAGCGAUACAGAUGCUGCAGUUGCAGAACCUCGAAUUAAGGCAUAGCUUGAAAUAGCUCUCAUGAUUUGCUAGACUAUUAUGUGGAAAACACAACAGAUAUUCAAUUGAUUCUACAUUUGGCAAAUAUUCGUUGCAAUGAAUGGGAAUGAAUACCUCGCCCAUAGUCCUCAAUGUUCAGUGUAAAGCAUCAGCUAAGUGAGAAAUCUGCAAUAGUCGCAGUAGUUGCAAUGUCGAUAGUAACA